GCAGAUUAAACAAAAAUAUCAAUAUAAUAGUUGAGUAAUAAAAAGAAAAAAAAAGAAAGAAUACUGAAAAGCAUAAUUUAACAUUCCAGUGACACAAAAAUACUAUCUUGAGUUAAGUUAUAAAAAUACCGAAACUGUAUGAAAUAAUUAAAUAUAAAGAUCUCGGAAUGUACGUAGAUAACGCCCCGUCACACUAGACGACGAUCGCACCACGCUCACCGCGAUUUAAAAUAAAUCUAAAUCGUGUUGAGCUCGUGGUUUGAGCGGAAUGAAAAUGUAAAUUUCGUUGUCUUCACGAUGCUACGUCCUCAUCACGAUGCUAAACGUCCUCAUUACGCUUCUACAUUGACCCGCUACGAUUAUACAACGUUCCCACCACACUAAUUCUGCGACCUCACUGCGAUUAUCACGUUUUCACUUCGACCAUAUGCCACGCUUUAUCCGAUUGCAACCCGAUCUUAAUUACCACGCUUCUAAUUCGACCAUAGCACGCUUCUAAUGCGAUCAUAGCACGAACUUAACACGAUCAUACCACGUUCACACUGCGAUCUUACUACGCUCUCGGUAAUAACGUCUACAUCGUCUUCCAUAUAAAUACAGUUCUAAUGAAUCCUUUUAUUUCUCACUAGCCGACCGUGCAAGGGCUGUAUGAUCCUGUGUAGCCAGUCAAGGUCGUUAAAAACUUCCAUUUGUUGUACUUGUCAUUUAUACGUAGAUUUCUCGGGAACAAUACAACCAUAAUUGACCAGAACUUGUGGGCGAAGGGUAGAGGUAGAGUUCGAGACAGAAGGGCCUCUGAUACGAAUCUUAAUGUAGUAGAGUGAUAAUACUAUAUGAUUAGCAUAUAUAUUAUACGAAAAAGAUAGCCAUAUUCACUGAUGCAGCUAUUCGAAUCGACCUUCAUGUAAUCAUAUAACUAAUAAAAUUGAAACUGAAGCCUAGAUAAAAGGAUCUCAAAAUGAUAAAAAAAAAAAAAAAAAAAAAAAAAAAUAGAACUAAAAAAGGUCGAUUCUUGUAUAAAAAAAACCCACUUCAUACCUCUUUGAAAAGAUUAAAUUUUGUGAUGAUGUGUUUUUUUUUAUCAUGAGAUGUCUCUUCAUUCAGAUUUGUAAAUGAAAAAGAAAAGUUACUGUCAAAAAGUUAUAUAUAUUAAGGGAGAAGGUUUGGUACCUAUAAGGUACGUAGAUCAUAGGUAUAAGUUUCCCGAGAUAGAAUUUUCUUAUACUUUGCCACAAUGAAGACUUUAUACUAUGCUCUUUUCAAAAAUAUAAUAAAAAGGAUGGGUCACCGUUCUAAUUUUCAAGCUAUUAGUCGUUGAAAAUUGUCUAAAUUUGCAUAGAAUGAUCAUGAAAUUACACAUUUUUGUGCAUAAAAAGAAA
This 1379-nucleotide long non-coding RNA is filed under the name Mytilus galloprovincialis (Mediterranean mussel). Lineage: Eukaryota; Metazoa; Mollusca; Bivalvia; Mytilida; Mytilidae. The record is from RNAcentral.